UGGUUCUGGCAUCGAUGAAGAACGCAGCGAAAUGCGAUAAGUAAUGUGAAUUGCAGAAUUCAACGAAUCAUCGAAUCUUUGAACGCAUAUUGCGCCCAUUAGUAUUCUAUUGGGCAUGCCUGUUCGAGCGUCAUUACAACCCUCAAGCCCUGGCUGCUUGGUGUUGGGAUGUCUACAGAUAUUGUAGAUCCCGAAAAUCAGUGGCGGAAUCGCUGUGAACCCGAGCGUAGUAAAAUAUCUCUCGCUUAGGGGCACAUAGCGGGUACUUGCCGUUAAAAUCCACUAUAUUAUUUGAAAGGUUGACCUCGGAUCAGGUAGGAAUACCCGCUGA
RNAcentral lists this unclassified non-coding RNA (331 nucleotides) under uncultured fungus. Its description in RNAcentral is "partial contains 5.8S ribosomal RNA and internal transcribed spacer 2". The stretch from base 1 to 133 matches the Rfam family "5.8S ribosomal RNA", at positions 22 to 154 of the family's 154-position model. Lineage: Eukaryota; Fungi. The record is from RNAcentral.